AGAGCGAACGCUGGCGGCGUGCUUAACACAUGCAAGUCGAACGCGCAGCAUUCUGUAGCAAUACAGGGUGUGGGCGCGUGGCGAACGGGUGCGUAACACGUGGAUAACCUUCCUUGAGGUGGGGAAUAACCCAGUGAAAAUUGGGCUAAUACCGCAUAACAUCGCGAUGGCACAUGCUGAUGCGAUCAAAGGCGCAAGUCGCCACAAGAGGGAUCCGCGGCCGAUUAGCUUGUUGGCGAGGUAAUGGCUCACCAAGGCAAUGAUCGGUA
RNAcentral lists this ribosomal RNA (269 nucleotides) under uncultured bacterium. RNAcentral's name for it is "partial small subunit ribosomal RNA". It matches the Rfam family "Bacterial small subunit ribosomal RNA", at positions 26 to 285 of the family's 1533-position model. The record is from RNAcentral.